Molecule: ribosomal RNA, 119 nt
Organism: Pteropus vampyrus (large flying fox)
Lineage: Eukaryota; Metazoa; Chordata; Mammalia; Chiroptera; Pteropodidae
Source: Ensembl
AUCUACAGCCAUGCUACCCUGAACAAGUUCGAUCCCAUCUGAUCUCGGAAGCGAAGCAGGUUUGGGCCUGGUUCGUACUUGGAUGGGAGACCUCCUAGGAAGAUUAGAUGCUAUAGGUG